This 2658-nucleotide ribosomal RNA is filed under the name Acinetobacter baumannii. RNAcentral describes it as "partial 23S ribosomal RNA". It matches the Rfam family "Bacterial large subunit ribosomal RNA". Lineage: Bacteria; Pseudomonadati; Pseudomonadota; Gammaproteobacteria; Moraxellales; Moraxellaceae. The record is from RNAcentral.
AGUCAAGUAAUUAAGUGCAUGUGGUGGAUGCCUUGGCAGUCAGAGGCGAUGAAAGACGUGAUAGCCUGCGAAAAGCUCCGGGGAGGCGGCAAAUAUCCUUUGAUCCGGAGAUGUCUGAAUGGGGGAACCCACCUACUUUAAGGUAGGUAUUGCAACAUGAAUACAUAGUGUUGCAAGGCGAACGAGGGGAAGUGAAACAUCUCAGUACCCUUAGGAAAAGAAAUCAAUUGAGAUUCCCUCAGUAGCGGCGAGCGAACGGGGAUCAGCCCAUUAAGUUAUGUGUGUUUUAGUGGAACGCUCUGGGAAGUGCGAACGUAGAGGGUGAUAUUCCCGUACACGAAAGGGCACACAUAAUGAUGACGAGUAGGGCGAGGCACGUGAAACCUUGUCUGAAUAUGGGGGGACCAUCCUCCAAGGCUAAAUACUCCUGACUGACCGAUAGUGAACCAGUACCGUGAGGGAAAGGCGAAAAGAACCCCUGUGAGGGGAGUGAAAUAGAUCCUGAAACCGCAUGCAUACAAGCAGUGGGAGCACCUUCGUGGUGUGACUGCGUACCUUUUGUAUAAUGGGUCAGCGACUUAUAUUCAGUAGCGAGGUUAACCGUAUAGGGGAGCCGUAGAGAAAUCGAGUCUUAAUAGGGCGUUUAGUUGCUGGGUAUAGACCCGAAACCAGGCGAUCUAUCCAUGAGCAGGUUGAAGGUUGGGUAACACUAACUGGAGGACCGAACCCACUGUCGUUGAAAAGCCAGGGGAUGACUUGUGGAUAGGGGUGAAAGGCUAAUCAAGCCUGGUGAUAGCUGGUUCUCCCCGAAAGCUAUUUAGGUAGCGCCUCGGACGAAUACCAUAGGGGGUAGAGCACUGUUUCGGCUAGGGGGUCAUCCCGACUUACCAAACCGAUGCAAACUCCGAAUACCUAUGAGUACUAUCCGGGAGACAGACUGCGGGUGCUAACGUCCGUAGUCAAGAGGAAAACAAUCCAGACCGCCAGCUAAGGCCCCAAAAUCAUAGUUAAGUGGGAAACGAUGUGGGAAGGCAUAGACAGCUAGGAGGUUGGCUUAGAAGCAGCCACCCUUUAAAGAAAGCGUAAUAGCUCACUAGUCGAGUCGGCCUGCGCGGAAGAUGUAACGGGGCUAAAACUAUGUGCCGAAGCUGCGGAUGUAUACUUUGUAUACGUGGUAGGGGAGCGUUCUGUAAGCCGAUGAAGGUGUGUUGAGAAGCAUGCUGGAGGUAUCAGAAGUGCGAAUGCUGACGUGAGUAACGACAAAACGGGUGAAAAACCCGUUCGCCGAAAGACCAAGGGUUCCAGUCCAACGUUAAUCGGGGCUGGGUGAGUCGACCCCUAAGGCGAGGCCGAAAGGCGUAGUCGAUGGGAAAAUGGUUAAUAUUCCAUUACUUCUGUGUAAUGCGAUGAGAGGACGGAGAAGGCUAAAUCAGCCUGGCGUUGGUUGUCCAGGUGAAAGGAUGUAGGCAUGUAUCUUAGGCAAAUCCGGGGUACUCUAUGCUGAGAUCUGAUAGCAAGCUGUACUUGUACAGCGAAGUGGUUGAUGCCAUGCUUCCAGGAAAAGUCUCUAAGCUUCAGUUACACAGGAAUCGUACCCGAAACCGACACAGGUGGUCAGGUCGAGUAGACCAAGGCGCUUGAGAGAACUCUGCUGAAGGAACUAGGCAAAAUGGUACCGUAACUUCGGGAGAAGGUACGCUGUUGUUGGUGAUGGAACUCGCUUCCUGAGCUGACGACAGCCGCAGAAACCAGGCCGCUGCAACUGUUUAUUAAAAACAUAGCACUCUGCAAACACGAAAGUGGACGUAUAGGGUGUGAUGCCUGCCCGGUGCUGGAAGGUUAAUUGAUGGGGUUAGCGUAAGCGAAGCUCUUGAUCGAAGCCCCAGUAAACGGCGGCCGUAACUAUAACGGUCCUAAGGUAGCGAAAUUCCUUGUCGGGUAAGUUCCGACCUGCACGAAUGGCAUAAUGAUGGCGGCGCUGUCUCCAGCAGAGGCUCAGUGAAAUCGAAAUCGCUGUGAAGAUGCAGUGUACCCGCGGCUAGACGGAAAGACCCCGUGAACCUUUACUGCAGCUUGACACUGAACUUUGACCUUACUUGUGUAGGAUAGGUGGGAGGCUUUGAAGCUGGAACGCUAGUUCCAGUGGAGCCGUCCUUGAAAUACCACCCUGGUAAUGUUGAGGUUCUAACUCUGUCCCGUGAUCCGGGACGAGGACCGUGUCUGGUGGGUAGUUUGACUGGGGCGGUCUCCUCCUAAAGAGUAACGGAGGAGUACGAAGGUGCGCUCAGCGUGGUCGGAAAUCACGCGUAGAGUAUAAAGGCAAAAGCGCGCUUAACUGCGAGACCCACAAGUCGAGCAGGUACGAAAGUAGGUCUUAGUGAUCCGGUGGUUCUGUAUGGAAGGGCCAUCGCUCAACGGAUAAAAGGUACUCUGGGGAUAACAGGCUGAUACCGCCCAAGAGUUCAUAUCGACGGCGGUGUUUGGCACCUCGAUGUCGGCUCAUCUCAUCCUGGGGCUGAAGCAGGUCCCAAGGGUAUGGCUGUUCGCCAUUUAAAGAGGUACGCGAGCUGGGUUUAGAACGUCGUGAGACAGUUCGGUCCCUAUCUACCGUGGGCGCUGGAAAUUUGAGAGGAUCUGCUCCUAGUACGAGAGGACCAG